Molecule: ribosomal RNA, 253 nt
Filed under: uncultured bacterium
Lineage: Bacteria
Description: partial 16S ribosomal RNA
Rfam family: Bacterial small subunit ribosomal RNA
Source: RNAcentral
UACGUAGGGUGCAAGCGUUAAUCGGAAUUACUGGGCGUAAAGCGUGCGCAGGCGGUGAUGUAAGACAGAUGUGAAAUCCCCGGGCUCAACCUGGGAACUGCAUUUGUGACUGCAUCGCUGGAGUGCGGCAGAGGGGGAUGGAAUUCCGCGUGUAGCAGUGAAAUGCGUAGAUAUGCGGAGGAACACCGAUGGCGAAGGCAAUCCCCUGGGCCUGCACUGACGCUCAUGCACGAAAGCAUGGGGAGCGAACGGG